GUCCACUCCUUACGGGGGAGACAGUCAUGAGACGUGAGUAUAAGACCUGAGUGUAAAGACCUUAGGGUGAAGCAAUUGGAGGGCAAGCUUUGGUGCCAGCAGCCGCGGUAACUCCAACUCCAAGAGUGUCUAUGGUGGAUGCUGCAGUUAAAGGGUCCGUAGUCGUGAAUGCAAUUAAAUGUCGUUGUUCAAUAGCGAUGAGUUUGCUAAUGUUUGCGGAACGGAUAGGGAGUGUAGUAUAGACUGGCGAAGAAUGAAAUCUCAAGACCCAGUUUGGACUAACGGAGGCGAAGGCGACACUCUUAGACGUAUCUUAGGAUCAAGGACGAAGGCAGGAGUAUCGAAAGUGAUUAGACACCGCUGUAGUUCCUGCAGUAAACUAUGCCGACAGCCUGUGUGUGAGAAUACGUGGGCGGGAGAAAUCUUAGUGUUCGGGCUCUGGGGAUAGUACGCUCGCAAGGGUGAAACUUAAAGCGAAAUUGACGGAAGGACACUACCAGGAGUGGAUUGUGCUGCUUAAUUUAACUCAACGCGGGAAAACUUACCAGGGUCAAGUCAUUCGUUGAUCGAAUACGUGAGAAUGGCAGGAUGGG
Molecule: ribosomal RNA, 593 nt
Filed under: Enterocytozoon bieneusi
Lineage: Eukaryota; Fungi; Microsporidia; Enterocytozoonidae
Description: SSU rRNA
Rfam family: Microsporidia small subunit ribosomal RNA
Source: RNAcentral